GGCAGCCUGGCAUAGUGGUAUGAGUGUUGGCCUGGGAGAGCGGGAGACCUGGGUUCGAAUCCCUACUCGGCCA
Non-coding RNA from Phrynosoma platyrhinos (Desert horned lizard), 73 nucleotides. NCBI's taxonomy places the organism in Eukaryota, Metazoa, Chordata, Lepidosauria, Squamata, Phrynosomatidae. The record is from the annotation of a GenBank genome assembly.